This 136-nucleotide small RNA is filed under the name Marmota monax (woodchuck). The record is from RNAcentral. Lineage: Eukaryota; Metazoa; Chordata; Mammalia; Rodentia; Sciuridae.
GUCGGGUGUGGUGGUGCACACCUGUAAUACCAGCAGCUCAGAAGGUUGAGGCAGGAGGAUCAUGAGUCACGAUCAUGAGUCAUGCCAACCUCCGCAAAAGUGAGGUGGUAAGCAACUCAGUGAGACCUUGUCUCUA